GAUGAAGAACGUAGCGAAAUGCGAUAAGUAAUGUGAAUUGCAGAAUUCAGUGAAUCAUCGAAUCUUUGAACGCACAUUGCGCCCGCCAGUGUUCUGGCGGGCAUGCCUGUUCGAGCGUCAUUUCAACCAUCAAGCCCCCGGCUUGUGUUGGGGACCUGCGGCUGCCGCAGGCCCUGAAAAGCAGUGGCGGGCUCGCUGUCACACCGAGCGUAGUAGCAUACAUCUCGCUCUGGGCGUGCUGCGGGUUCCGGCCGUUAAACCACCUUCAUAACCCAAGGUUGACCUCGGAUCAGGUAGGAAGACCCGCUGAACUUAAGCAUAUCAAUAAGCGGAGGA
RNAcentral lists this unclassified non-coding RNA (336 nucleotides) under soil metagenome. RNAcentral's name for it is "partial contains 5.8S ribosomal RNA, internal transcribed spacer 2, and large subunit ribosomal RNA". The stretch from base 1 to 120 matches the Rfam family "5.8S ribosomal RNA", at positions 35 to 154 of the family's 154-position model. The record is from RNAcentral.